Molecule: small nuclear RNA, 317 nt
Filed under: Sus scrofa (pig)
Lineage: Eukaryota; Metazoa; Chordata; Mammalia; Artiodactyla; Suidae
Description: 7SK RNA (ENSSSCG00070017234.1)
Rfam family: 7SK RNA
About the family: 7SK was discovered as an abundant small nuclear RNA in the mid-70s but a possible function has only recently been suggested. Two independent studies have found that 7SK RNA binds the CDK9/cyclin T complex (known as elongation factor P-TEFb).
Source: RNAcentral
GAAUUUUUGCGAGGGCGAUCUGGCUGUGACAUCUGUCACCCCAUUGAUCGCCAGGGUUGAUUCGGCUGAUCUGGCUGGCUAGGCUGGUGUCCCCUUCCUCCCUCACUGCUCCAUGUGCGUCCCUCCUGAAGCUGCGCGCUCGGUCGAAGAGGAUGACCAUCCCCGAUAGAGGAGGACCGUUCUUUGGUCAAGGGUAUACGAGUAGCUGCACUCCCCUGCUAGAACCUCCAAACAAGCUCUCAGGGUCCAAUUUUCUAAAAUCUUUCCAUGACCUCUGCAUUUCCCCCCACUUCUCAGCAAGUUGAAUGUGAUUGAUU